AUGAAUACAUGCAUAUUUGCACGGUGAUCCUGAGCCUGUCAGGCGUAGUUACACAUUUUCUAGAGAUUUGAGAAAAUUGUCGUUAUCUCCUGAAGGUGGGGAUGUUGUUAUAUGUGUUGUCAUUCAGCAAGCUAAAUAGAAAGCACUAACUAGCUCAUAACCUCCACUGUCCUUUGGGCUUGAUCUGCUGUACCUUUGCUUCGGAGCAAUAAAUCACCUCGAAUUCUGGUCAAAACUCGGUGUUAUUCUAUGGGGGGAGUCUUUGGAUAUAGACAGGACCGAGGACAAGCAAGCACAAGCUGAAGAUCUUCCAGAGAUCAGAGAAGGAAGAGGAAAAAAAUACGAAGCAGCUGCCAAGGCCGAGCUGUGCAGGUGGCAGACAUCACUGGAUCUGGUUUUUAUUAUUUUUUUAUU
Long non-coding RNA from Nanorana parkeri, 414 nucleotides. RefSeq lists it as uncharacterized. Lineage: Eukaryota; Metazoa; Chordata; Amphibia; Anura; Dicroglossidae. The transcript has 3 exons. The record is from RefSeq and is a predicted model, not a curated record.